GAUGAACGCUGGCGGCGUGCUUAACACAUGCAAGUCGAACGGAAAGGCCCAAGCUUGCUUGGGUACUCGAGUGGCGAACGGGUGAGUAACACGUGGGUGAUCUGCCCUGCACUUCGGGAUAAGCCUGGGAAACUGGGUCUAAUACCGGAUAGGACGAUGGUUUGGAUGCCAUUGUGGAAAGUUUUUUCGGUGUGGGAUGAGCUCGCGGCCUAUCAGCUUGUUGGUGGGGUAAUGGCCUACCAAGGCGUCGACGGGUAGCCGGCCUGAGAGGGUGUACGGCCACAUUGGGACUGAGAUACGGCGCAGACUCCUACGGGAGGCAGCAGUGGGGAAUAUUGCACAAUGGGCGCGAGCCUGAUGCGGCGACGCCGCGUGGGGGAUGACGGCCUUCGGGUUUUAAACUCCUUUCGCUAGGGACGAAGCGGUUUUGUGACGGUACCUGGAGAAGAAGCACCGGCUAACUACGUG
RNAcentral lists this ribosomal RNA (468 nucleotides) under uncultured bacterium. RNAcentral's name for it is "partial 16S ribosomal RNA". It matches the Rfam family "Bacterial small subunit ribosomal RNA", at positions 28 to 507 of the family's 1533-position model. The record is from RNAcentral.